UGGUUGGAGGGAGCCAGAAAGACUGUCCCACAUUUACAAAGAAACAAAUGGUCAAUUUGACCCGCCACAUAACAGGAGGGUUAAAUGUAGUUGACACUACAAAGGGUUGCAUUUUGGGUAACUGAGUUUAUUCUGUGUUUAUCUCCCGCAGUAGACGUGUUUGCCACUGCCACCCUUUUGCACUGAAGCACGCAAGAUGGACUCCAGCCUGUUACCUUACUUAGAUAUUGUACAACAAAUGAUGCAUAGUGGCUGUAGUGAUGUGGACAUAAAAAACCACUUGAUAUUUGAAUGUGGCUUGCGUAGAGGAACGUCCGUGGCCAAUAUUCGGAAGUUUUGUAAAGACCACGGGUUAAAAAGACAGCGAGUGACGGACCAACAACUUGAAGCUGCAGUCUCCAAUGCAAUAACACAGGGUGGUCCUACCUAUGGCAGGAAAAUGAUGACUGGGAGUCUUGCAGCUGCAGGUGUCUUCGCAUCAGAGGGUCGUGUUGGAGCUGUUUUGCGCAACAUUCACCCACCUUACCAUAAGGCACGAUGCCAGCCUAUGUGGGUCACAAAAUCCACAUGGACCAAAAUGAGAAGAUUGUCAUGUUUGGCGUGACUCAUGUGCUGGCAAUAGAUGGCUUCUCCAGCAAAAUUGUUGGACAAGCUACUAUGCCUGUAAAGAACAACCUCACCAUCUAGAAUGACGUUUACAGGAGUGCAGUAAUGGAAUAUGGGAUGUGGGACCAGGUCAGAGUGGAUCAUGGAAAGGAGUUCUACCUCACUCUUUUCAUGCAGGAGAAGUUGGCCAGCCACCGCCACAACACUGAAAGGCCACCAUAUCUCCAAACACCAUCGACAAAGAAUCACAGAAUCGAGAGAAUCUGGCCAGAAAUUAACAACCGAGUUAACUACCCAUUGAAAGCUGCAUUGGUCGAACUGGUGGAUCAGGAGGAGCUGGACAUGGAGGACCAGAUGACUCGGUUCUGUGUGUCAUCUUUGACAUGCCAGUUGGCCCAGAUCGGUGUUAACCGAACUGUGCAAGCAUGGAAUGCACACAGGAUUCCUGGUAUGU
Molecule: long non-coding RNA, 1060 nt
Organism: Pseudoliparis swirei
Lineage: Eukaryota; Metazoa; Chordata; Actinopteri; Perciformes; Liparidae
Exons: 5
Source: RefSeq, a predicted model, not a curated record